Molecule: ribosomal RNA, 235 nt
Filed under: uncultured bacterium
Lineage: Bacteria
Description: partial 16S ribosomal RNA
Rfam family: Bacterial small subunit ribosomal RNA
Source: RNAcentral
GAUCCUGGCUCAGGAUGAACGCUGGCGGCGUGCUUAACACAUGCAAGUCGAACGGGAAAUAUUUUCAUUGAGACUUCGGUGGAUUUGAUCUAUUUCUAGUGGCGGACGGUGAGUAACGCGUGGGUAACCUGCCUUAUACAGGGGGAUAACAGUCAGAAAUGGCUGCUAAUACCGCAUAAGCGCACAGAGCUGCAUGGCUCAGUGUGAAAAACUCGGGUGGUAUAAGAUGGACCCG